Molecule: ribosomal RNA, 242 nt
Filed under: uncultured bacterium
Lineage: Bacteria
Description: partial 16S ribosomal RNA
Rfam family: Bacterial small subunit ribosomal RNA
Source: RNAcentral
AGGUCCCGAGCGUUGUCCGGAUUUAUUGGGCGUAAAGCGAGCGCAGGUGGUUUAUUAAGUCUGGUGUAAAAGGCAGUGGCUCAACCAUUGUAUGCAUUGGAAACUGGUAGACUUGAGUGCAGGAGAGGAGAGUGGAAUUCCAUGUGUAGCGGUGAAAUGCGUAGAUAUAUGGCGGAACACCGGUGGCGAAAGCGGCUCUCUGGCCUGUAACUGACACUGAGGCUCGAAAGCGUGGGGAGCAA